Molecule: long non-coding RNA, 1298 nt
Filed under: Dasypus novemcinctus (nine-banded armadillo)
Lineage: Eukaryota; Metazoa; Chordata; Mammalia; Cingulata; Dasypodidae
Description: lncRNA (ENSDNOG00000050042.1)
Source: RNAcentral
CGGCAAGCAGGGCAUGAUGGGGGACAUAGGUUGGCAUCCCUCUGCCCAAAUGUUGAUCCUGACCCAUGGAGCUGUCCCUUGCCAUUGACUGUAAGGCUGGGCCCUGCUGCCGCCAGGCCUGGUUGACAGACCUGUCUUUGCAGGUUUCUACCCACGAGACCAGAACAGAAAACGACAUGGAGGUCAUCGACCUCUCGCCCCAGACCUGGGAGUCUGGGCAUCAUGCCACCAACAUUGACCAGAGCAGGCUGGAGACAGAGAAACUCUGACUGUGUGUUCCUAUUUUGUCCCUGACGCCUACAUGCCAGUGGGAAAAUGAACCUCCAGAAAACAUAGAGAAGACCAGCCCAGAACUGAUGUUGCCCAGGGAGAGAAGGCAGGAGGAGCGUGGCCAGCUUCUGGGGAGAUUUGGACGUUACCCCUGCAGGCCGCAGGCCUUGCCUGUCACCAGGUGUGAAAGAAACUUCUGUGUAAUGGACGGAGCUAGAAGAAGAUGCCUGACACAAGUAAAAAUUGAAAUCUCCUGCUUCCGGGGCGCCUGGCUGGAACGCUGCACAGCAGAUACCUUUCCCAUCGCGGUCUCUACCAUCCUCAGUGCUGUGGUGUGCAGAAUUGAAAUGAACAUCAUGGGAUCAGCAUCAAGACCUGCACCAGGUACACUGGCAGCUCUAGCUCCAGGACCAGCACAAUGGCCAGAGAGAGAAAUGCCUAAGGAGCUGGAAUCCCCUCGGCAAGAACUGGAAAUGACCAUAACCUUCACCCUGGGAACCUGGCUGGGCCACCUCAGCAGGGAAUUCCCCCAUCGCUUGGGCUCUCCCGGUGGCAGGGCCCUGCCGAGGGCUGUGGAAAUUAAGACCCAGCGUGCUGAGUUCCCAUGCUGGGCACAGCUCUGUGCUCCAAGGUCAGGUCUAGUGGCCACAGGCUGGCCAGCUCUCCCUCCUACUCAGUCCGGUUCUGAGAUGUUUGAAGGAAGAACCGCAGGGCCACAUGUGAGGCUGGGCUCAGUGCCCGCACCGGCUCCAUCGUCACCCGGCACAGAACGGUCACCUGAGGAGGUCGCGCCUGCCCAGGCAGCACAGGAGGCUGAAGCUCCACUUCUCCAAUGUGGGCCAGAGGAAGGACAGGAGGCUUCUCUUCCUUCUCUCAAGAGUGCCUGUGGGGUUUUUUUCUCAACUUUUUUGGUUGUUUAUUUAUUUUAUGGAUAUUUUUAUUUCCUAGUGUUAAGUCAUAUAUAUUAAAUAUUUGUUAUCAUUACUCCUUUGUAGUGUGUUCAUCAGUGUCUUAGGCAGAUUUCAAAC